Gadus macrocephalus (Pacific cod) is the source of this 373-nucleotide long non-coding RNA. RefSeq lists it as uncharacterized. The transcript has 2 exons. The record is from RefSeq and is a predicted model, not a curated record. NCBI's taxonomy places the organism in Eukaryota, Metazoa, Chordata, Actinopteri, Gadiformes, Gadidae.
GAAAGAGGGUGGGGGAGACAGGGAGACAGAGGAAAGAGGGAGACAGAGAGACAGAGGAAAGUGAAAGAGGGAGUGAGAGCGAGUAGAGAGAGAGAGGGUGUAGAGAGCGACAUGCGAGCGAGAGAGAAAUGCAGAGAGAACAAAAAGACAGUAAAGAAAGGAACAACAGACGACAGACAAAAGAGAAACGGAAACAUACAGAGACAAAUAGAGAAAGGGGAGGAAGAGAGAGUGGUAUUACGACAGGUUGUACCCACACACAGGUAAACAGUGACAACCUUCUGCAGAAUAUUUUUUUCUACCAACGUAUAUCUAGCCUUCAUUUCCCAUUCAUACAUGUCAUUAUAAAGGAGGAAGGGAUGUGGCCCAGUGU